RNAcentral lists this transfer RNA (77 nucleotides) under Sphaerodactylus townsendi. Its description in RNAcentral is "tRNA-Ala". Lineage: Eukaryota; Metazoa; Chordata; Lepidosauria; Squamata; Sphaerodactylidae. The record is from RNAcentral.
GAGGAUGGGCCCUGGCCCAGUGUCAGAGCAUCCGCUCGGCAUGCGGAAGGUCCCAGGUUCAAUCCCCUGCAUUUCCA